GUGCACCAGUCGCGAAACCUCCGCAAUGCGGGAAACCGUGACGGGGUCACCCCGAGUGCCACCCGAUGAGGGUGGCUUUUCCCCGGUCUAAAAAGCCGGGGGCAAUAAGCGGGGGGCAAGUCUGGUGUCAGCCGCCGCGGUAAUACCAGCCCCGCGAGUGGUCGGGACGUUUAUUGGGCCUAAAGCGUCCGUAGCCGGCUCGGUAAGUCCCUCCUUAAAUCCACGGGCUCAACCCGUGGGCUGGGAGGGAUACUGCCGGGCUAGGGGGCGGGAGAGGCCGAGGGUACUCCCGGGGUAGGGGCGAAAUCCGUUAAUCCCGGGAGGACCACCAGUGGCGAAGGCGCUCGGCUGGAACGCGCCCGACGGUGAGGGACGAAAGCUGGGGGAGCAAAGGGGAUUAGAUACCCCCGUAGU
RNAcentral lists this ribosomal RNA (414 nucleotides) under uncultured microorganism. RNAcentral describes it as "bacterial SSU rRNA". It matches the Rfam family "Archaeal small subunit ribosomal RNA", at positions 330 to 745 of the family's 1478-position model. The record is from RNAcentral.